AAAAUGUUGAGACAUUUAUGAGUGACCAACAGUAAGAGGAUUCCUAACAUUGAACAAGACUUCUUCAGGGUUGGUCCUAUUGUUCAUGGGAUUUGGUCCCAGCAAUGUAAUCUGAUUCUGCAAAUAUAAACUUCAGAAUAUCACAGUGGAGCACCUGAUUUGUGGGCAGGUAGAUGCCUCACAUGAAUCACAAACACUUGAUUUCUCCUAGCAAUGAUACACAAGCAGCAGUUACAGCAAGAACAUAGAGAGAGUCAGAACAUCAGCAAUCCUUUAAACUUCAGUGAAAAAGAUUAUCAACCAGACCAAUUUUCACUGUGCUGAAAAAUAUUGCGAAAUAAUAUUCAUUGGGUAAAUAAUGAAGAUGCAUCCUGACUAUAUAUUAUCAUAGAUCUUUACAGUUUCUUUGGUUCUUUGUUAAUAGAUUAGCCAGCAGUUUUUGUAGAUUGUAACAUUGACAUAGCUGCUAUCCCUCGAUCAAGAGGACGUUACUUCCAGAACACCAGUCGGAAAGUGUAACUGUGGAAUAUAAAUUUGUUCGUUUUUAUUGAAAUUGCCUAAAGCAGCCCGUAAUAUCAUUGAGGGCACUUCAUCAGGUUUAGACAAAAAUAGUUUAAUUUCAUGGCUUCAAGUUCAAAUGUAAUCCAAAUGAUGAGAAUGUGUCCAAUGUCUGUUAAAGAUCUAUUGUGAAAUGCAUUCAGACAAUGUUUAUAUACUUCAAAUGAGCUUUAGUCAGAUGCACAUAUCUGCCUAUACAAACUUUUUAUGAGUGAGAAUUUAUGGUUAAGACAGGGUAUAAGAAUUCCACAGUAUUGGAGUCCUUAAGUAUGAAUAUCAACUGUGUUCCCAGUCGAAAGCAAUGCUCACAGGAAGCUAGCUCAAAAUUCAAGACUACAGUAUCAUUGCCCUCAUUCUAACCAGUACUCCCUUUGAAUUGAAAUUCCCCACUGGAAGUCAUGGAUUAGAGAAUUAUUCUUUUAGAACUGGAUUACUCAAUUCUUUCACAAUGACUCCUGCGAGAGGAAAUCUUAUUGUCUAUAAUUUCAAAGUAAUAUUUCUACAUUCUGUGCUCAUAGAGGUGUAUGUUUAUUGGUUAAAAAUGCACAUAGUAGCAAUAAUCUGUUUAAGGUACUUACUAUAGUCUUCUUGUCCCAACUCAGUUAAUUCAAAAUGAUACUUAAAGACUUAGAAGCAGGAGUAGUCCAUUUAGGCUAUCGAGCCUGCCACUCAAUAUGAUCAUGGUUGAUCAUCCACUUCAAAACUUUUAUUUCCACAUGAUAUCCAUAUGUUUUCUGAUAUUAGUAUUUAGAAAUCUGCUGUUUUGUACAAAACAAAAUUCAAUGAUUAAGCUUCCACAGUCCUCUGUAGUCAAGAAUUCAAAGUAUUUCCAACAUUCUGAGUAAAUAAAAAUCUCCUCAUCUUAGUCACAAGUGUUUUGCCUCUUAUUUCAAAAUGAUACCCCCUUGUUUUAGUCUACCCAAUUUGGGGAAACAUCUUAUCUGUAUCUACCCUG
Non-coding RNA from Chiloscyllium plagiosum (whitespotted bambooshark), 1513 nucleotides. The record is from RefSeq and is a predicted model, not a curated record. Lineage: Eukaryota; Metazoa; Chordata; Chondrichthyes; Orectolobiformes; Hemiscylliidae.